Molecule: non-coding RNA, 111 nt
Organism: Acanthosepion pharaonis
Lineage: Eukaryota; Metazoa; Mollusca; Cephalopoda; Sepiida; Sepiidae
Source: the annotation of a GenBank genome assembly
UAUGACCAUAUCACGUUAAAACACAGAUUUUCGUACGAUCACUGAAGUUAAGUAACGUCGACCCUGGUCAGUACCUGGAGGUGACCCUUUGGGAAUACCAGGUGCUGUAAG